This 467-nucleotide ribosomal RNA is filed under the name uncultured bacterium. RNAcentral describes it as "partial 16S ribosomal RNA". It matches the Rfam family "Bacterial small subunit ribosomal RNA", at positions 29 to 507 of the family's 1533-position model. The record is from RNAcentral.
ACGCACGCUGGCGGCGUGCUUAACACCUGCAAGUCGCACGGAAAGGCCCUGCUUUUGUGGGGUGCUCGAGUGGCGAACGGGUGAGUAACACGUGAGUAACCUGCCCUUGACUUUGGGAUAACUUCAGGAAACUGGGGCUAAUACCGGAUAGGAGCCCCUGCUGCAUGGUGGGGGUUGGAAAGUUUCGGCGGUUGGGGAUGGACUCGCGGCUUAUCAGCUUGUUGGUGGGGUAGUGGCUUACCAAGGCUUUGACGGGUAGCCGGCCUGAGAGGGUGACCGGCCACAUUGGGACUGAGAUACGGCCCAGACUCCUACGGGAGGCAGCAGUGGGGAAUAUUGCACAAUGGGCGGAAGCCUGAUGCAGCAACGCCGCGUGCGGGAUGACGGCCUUCGGGUUGUAAACCGCUUUCGCCUGUGACGAAGCGUGAGUGACGGUAAUGGGUAAAGAAGCACCGGCUAACUACGUG